UACAGAGACUGCAAGCGUUAUUCGGAUUCACUGGGCGUAAAGGGUGCGCAGGCGGCCAAGUGUGUCAGGUGUGAAAUCCCGAGGCUUAACCUCGGAACUGCGCCUGAAACUACUUGGCUAGAGUACUGGAGAGGGUAACGGAAUUCACGGUGUAGCAGUGAAAUGCGUAGAUAUCGUGAGGAACACCAGAGGCGAAGGCGGUUACCUGGGCCGGAACUGACGCUGAGGCGCGAAAGCGUGGGGGAGCAAGCAGGG
This 255-nucleotide ribosomal RNA is filed under the name uncultured bacterium. RNAcentral's name for it is "partial 16S ribosomal RNA". It matches the Rfam family "Bacterial small subunit ribosomal RNA", at positions 524 to 777 of the family's 1533-position model. The record is from RNAcentral.